CUGAUGGUCUAGAGGUUAGAACGUGGUGUUUUCACUGCCAUGGCCUAGGUUCAAUCCCUAGUCAG
RNAcentral lists this transfer RNA (65 nucleotides) under Bos taurus (domestic cattle). It matches the Rfam family "tRNA". Rfam says of the family: Transfer RNA (tRNA) molecules are approximately 80 nucleotides in length. Their secondary structure includes four short double-helical elements and three loops (D, anti-codon, and T loops). Lineage: Eukaryota; Metazoa; Chordata; Mammalia; Artiodactyla; Bovidae. The record is from Rfam by way of RNAcentral. RNAcentral also lists the same sequence under 2 other names.